UACCCGCUGAACUUAAGCAUAUCAAUAAGCGGAGGAAAAGAAACCAACAGGGAUUGCCCUAGUAACGGCGAGUGAAGCGGCAACAGCUCAAAUUUGAAAUCUGGCUUCGGCCCGAGUUGUAAUUUGCAGAGGAUGUUUCUGGCGCGGUGCCUUCCGAGUUCCCUGGAACGGGACGCCACAGAGGGUGAGAGCCCCGUAUGGUUGGACACCAAGCCUGUGUGAAACUCCUUCGACGAGUCGAGUAGUUUGGGAAUGCUGCUCUAAAUGGGAGGUAAAUCUCUUCUAAAGCUAAAUACCGGCCAGAGACCGAUAGCGCACAAGUAGAGUGAUCGAAAGAUGAAAAGCACCUUGAAAAGGGGGUUAAACAGUACGUGAAAUUGUUGAAAGGGAAGCGCUCAUGACCAGACUUGUGCCGGGCGGUUCAUCCGGGGUUCUCCCCGGUGCACUCCGCCCGGUUCAGGCCAGCAUCGGUUCUCGUUGGGGGAUAAGAACGGUAGGAACGUGGCCCUCCUUCGGGGGGGUGUUAUAGCCUGCCGUACGAUACCCUGACGGGGACCGAGGUUCGCGCUCCGCAAGGAUGCUGGCGUAAUGGUCAUCAGCGACCCGUCUUGAAACACGGACCAAGGAGUCGUCCAUUAGAGCGAGCGUUUGGGUGUAAAACCCGCACGCGUAAUGAAAGUGAAAUUAGGUGAGAGCUUCGGCGCAUCAUCGACCGAUCCUGAUGUUCUCGGAUGGAUUUGAGUAAGAGUUUUAACGGACGGACCCGAAAGACAGUGAACUAUGCUUGUAUAGGGUGAAGCCAGAGGAAACUCUGGUGGAGGCUCGCAGCGGUUCUGACGUGCAAAUCGAUCGUCAAAUAUGAGCAUGGGGGCGAAAGACUAAUCGAACUGUCUAGUAGCUGGUUACCGCCGA
This 912-nucleotide ribosomal RNA is filed under the name Harknessia fusiformis. RNAcentral describes it as "eukaryotic LSU rRNA". It matches the Rfam family "Eukaryotic large subunit ribosomal RNA", at positions 22 to 964 of the family's 3401-position model. The record is from RNAcentral. Lineage: Eukaryota; Fungi; Ascomycota; Sordariomycetes; Diaporthales; Harknessiaceae.